GUCAGCAUGGCAUAGUGGUUUGAGUGUUGGACCAUGACUCUGGAGACCAGGGUUUGGUUCCCAGUUCAGCCA
RNAcentral lists this transfer RNA (72 nucleotides) under Phrynosoma platyrhinos (Desert horned lizard). Its description in RNAcentral is "tRNA-OTHER". The record is from RNAcentral. Lineage: Eukaryota; Metazoa; Chordata; Lepidosauria; Squamata; Phrynosomatidae.